This 301-nucleotide ribosomal RNA is filed under the name uncultured bacterium. Its description in RNAcentral is "bacterial SSU rRNA". It matches the Rfam family "Bacterial small subunit ribosomal RNA", at positions 775 to 1067 of the family's 1533-position model. The record is from RNAcentral.
GGAUUAGAUACCCUGGUAGUCCACGCUGUAAACGUUGGAUACUAGGUGUUGGUCUACGUUUAGUGGAGCAGUGCCGAAGCUAACGCAUUAAGUAUCCCGCCUGGGGAGUACGAUCGCAAGGUUGAAACUCAAAGGAAUUGACGGGGACCCGCACAAGCGGUGGAGCAUGUGGUUUAAUUCGAUGCAACGCGAAGAACCUUACCUGGGCUUGAAGUGCAGGCAUUAGCUACCUGAAAGGGAUAGUGAUCCUACUCUGUAGGAACCUGUAGAGGUGCUGCAUGGCUGUCGUCAGCUCGUGCUG